Molecule: small RNA, 336 nt
Filed under: Histoplasma ohiense
Lineage: Eukaryota; Fungi; Ascomycota; Eurotiomycetes; Onygenales; Ajellomycetaceae
Description: hypothetical lncRNA
Source: RNAcentral
AACAAAUGCAUACACCUCAAACCACUCUGCAGCACCCCCCGUCUCCGAACCAGAACCAAUGGACUGAGUCCCACAUGUAAACACAAGUUGCCCGAGGAUCCCCAACAUCUCAGGGAAGGAUGCUGCUGACCAAAUCACCAGAGGAGUCUGCAUACACUGCGACAAGCCAGGGCACUUCACAAACCAAUGUCUGAAUGUGAUUGCCCCAAGUAAACCCCCCAUGUGUGUAAAUGCUGUGUCGCCCGCGGAUAGGCAAGAACAGGGAAAAGAUGAGCUCUCACUCUAAAACACAGACAAGAGCUCAAGGAGCAGAAAGCUAGCUGGAGAUUCAAGCAG